GGCACUAUAGCCAAGUGGUUAAGGCGACAGAUUAGAAAUCUGUUACUCUCUGAGUGCGCAGGUUCAAAUCCUGCUGGUGUCG
This 82-nucleotide transfer RNA is filed under the name Armillaria ostoyae. It matches the Rfam family "tRNA". Rfam says of the family: Transfer RNA (tRNA) molecules are approximately 80 nucleotides in length. Lineage: Eukaryota; Fungi; Basidiomycota; Agaricomycetes; Agaricales; Physalacriaceae. The record is from RNAcentral.